This 305-nucleotide long non-coding RNA is filed under the name Felis catus (domestic cat). RNAcentral's name for it is "lncRNA (ENSFCAG00000044448.2)". Lineage: Eukaryota; Metazoa; Chordata; Mammalia; Carnivora; Felidae. The record is from RNAcentral.
CUGAAGACUACAUCAGAGAGACACUGACUUAAAAAAAAAUCAAGUUUUGUUCUAUGGAAGAAGACGUACAAAUGGGAAAUAUUACUCCAACAUACAAGUGUUGUCUUUAUAACUGGCAGCCUGCAAGCCCUGCCUUCACUGCAGUUCUGGCUCCAGGAUCUCCCAGGGAUGCAGCAAUGGAUUCUUUCUGUGUGUGCAAACCACUCACCCUGGACAUUCAGAGGUUAACGGAGCUUUUGAAAGCCAGCCCAUUGAACCAUUCCUCUAAAAUGGCAUUUUGCGUUUUCUUCCAAAAAGACUCUUGA